Molecule: ribosomal RNA, 407 nt
Filed under: uncultured bacterium
Lineage: Bacteria
Description: partial 16S ribosomal RNA
Rfam family: Bacterial small subunit ribosomal RNA
Source: RNAcentral
AUUGAACGCUGGCGGCAGGCCUAAUACAUGCAAGUCGAGCGGAGCGGCGGAAGGGUGAGUAAUGCCUAGGGAUCUGCCUGGUAGUGGGGGAUAACGUACGGAGAGGGGAGCUUAUAACGCAUACGUGCAGGUCAGCCUAGGGCGGAUUAGCUAGUUGGUGGGGUAAAGGCCUACCAAGGCGACGAUCCGUAACUGGUCUGAGAGGAUGAUCAGUCACACUGGAACUGAGACACGGUCCAGACUCCUACGGGAGGCAGCAGUGGGGAAUAUUGGACAAUGGGCGAAAGUCUGAUCCAGCCAUGCCGCGUGUGUGAAGAAGGUUUUCGGAUUGUAAAGCACUGUAAUUUGGGAGGCGUUACCAACAGAAUAAGCAACGGCUAACUUCGUGCCAGCAGCCGCGGUAAUAC